RNAcentral lists this ribosomal RNA (492 nucleotides) under uncultured bacterium. RNAcentral describes it as "partial 16S ribosomal RNA". It matches the Rfam family "Bacterial small subunit ribosomal RNA", at positions 29 to 507 of the family's 1533-position model. The record is from RNAcentral.
AGUGAACGCUGGCGGUAGGCCUAACACAUGCAAGUCGAACGGCAGCACAGUAAGAGCUUGCUCUUACGGGUGGCGAGUGGCGGAUGGGUGAGGAAUACAUCGGCAUCUACUUUUUCGUGGGGGAUAACGUAGGGACACUUACGCUAAUACCGCAUACGACCUACGGGUGAAAGCAGGAGAUCUUCGGACCUUGCGCGAUUGAAUUAGCCGAUGUCGGAUUAGCUAGUUGGCGGGGUAAAGGCCCACCAAGGCGACGAUCCGUAGCUGGUCUGAGAUGAUGAUCAGCCACACUGGAACUGAGACACGGUCCAGACUCCUACGGGAGGCAGCAGUGGGGAAUAUUGGACAAAGGGCGCAAGCCUGAUCCAGCCAUACCGCGUGGGUGAAGAAGGCCUUCGGGUUGUAAAGCCCUUUUGUUGGGAAAGAAAAGCAGCAGGUUAAUACCCCGCUGUUCUGACGGUACCCAAAGAAUAAGCACCGGCUAACUUCGUG